Long non-coding RNA from Peromyscus maniculatus bairdii (prairie deer mouse), 3574 nucleotides. RefSeq lists it as uncharacterized. The record is from RefSeq and is a predicted model, not a curated record. NCBI's taxonomy places the organism in Eukaryota, Metazoa, Chordata, Mammalia, Rodentia, Cricetidae.
UCCGGGUCCUCAGCUCCAGGGCGAGGCAGCUCGGCUAUCUUUCUCUAGAAAGAGAGAGACAGAGACAGAAAAAAAAAGUUUGACAGUGACUCGAUUGUAUUUGGGGACCAGAUACACAGCCAGGCUUGAGAAACACCGCCUACUUUGCAGAGUGAGGUAGCUGCGGUCUUCCUGAUGCAUUUCUGUGCACACGCGUUCGAACACACGUCGUCGUCAGCUUACACACGCGCGCGCGCGCGCACACGCACACACACAGACACACACAGACACACACAGAGGCCAAGGGAGAUGCAGAUUUUCUGACUCCGCGUGCACUCAUCUGAAGGAGGUGCGGAGUGUGUGUGUGUGUGUGUGUGUGUACGCGUUUUCGCACAGUGCGUUGUUUAUUUCAGUGAGUGCCUGUGAAAUCCAGCGUUGGAGAGCGGAGUAGUGUGCAAGCUAGCUAGGGAGAAAACACGCCGGGAGCAACAGUAAUCAAUAUGUAACUUUCCUCAUCCUCAGAGAAAUCCCCGCUGUCCCCAGGCACCCAUGCAAGGAAAGUCACUUGAUUAUGAAAGUGUUUCAGAAGAAAAGCAGACGCCGGUGGAGAGAGAGGCAGUGGCUCCUCGGAGGAAAAAAAAAAACCUCUCUUAAGAUGUUUUGCAGCUUCAUGAAACUGCAAUCUGCUGAACGGUAUUAGGGUUCUACCCUUCAGCCAUCUCCUACCACAGCCCACACUGAAUGCACUCCAACGCCCCUUGACACCCAAUAGCUGUUGUCUCGCUCACCUCUGUUCAUCUUACUAAACUUCCAAAUAGCAAUCUGAUGUUUUUUUUUUCUAAAUAGUCAUUGAUGAUAUUUAUAAAAUAUUUUGUGUAUAAAAGCUGAACUGUUAGUCAAGAAUUUACAUCAGUAGGAGAUCAAUGAUUCAAAGAUGCCUGUUUUAUACACACACACACACACACACACACACACACACACACACACACUACCCUGGCUCUAAAUUCCUCAUCUUCUACGACUGAACGGUCUCAAAACUUGCUUUUGCCUAAACUCCUAUCACAAACGUCCACAAGUCAAGACCGGUUUGCGUGUGAUCUAGCAGUCUCGAAAAAGGAAAGUGAUGCAUUGAAGUAGAGAAGAUGGUACUCUGCAGUGCUGCUUUGGGUGGUUCCUGCUCUCAGGCCAAGGACCAAGAUGAGAUGCAGUUGACUGCAUUUGUUCAAGUUCCAACUGACUAAUCAACACAAGAAAAGGUCCUGUUAUCUCCAGGGGAGUGACAGGCAUUGAAAGAUACGUCUUAGAAAAUGUUGACUCAUCCGUCAUAAAGUACUGCAGUGAAGUGGCUCUCCAUGAACAGUAACCUACAAAGAUAUGUGUACACUUUGUAUACUUGAAGUUAAUCUAUAUGACUUCCAGUCACUUCCAGUCUAAGGGGUUGAGGCAGAAAUAUUACUGCUGUGUUUGAAUGUGAAAUGCCCCCCUAUAUGCCUAUGGGUUUGCAUGGUUGGCCACCAGCUACUGGCACUGUCUGUACAGCUAGUGGAAGCUUUAGGAGGUGGAGUCUUAAUGAGGAAAUGGAUCACUAUGGUGGCCUUCAAAGUUUUACAGAUUGUCCUCACUUUCUCUUUAUGCUUGCUUCUUGACUAUGCAGUAGUGUGACCAGCAGUCUCCAUUUCCUGUUGACAUGCGCUUCCACUUUAGACUGGUUCUUCUCUAGUUCUCAUCUAAAUUCAUUCCUUCUUCUCUUAAGAUGUUCCUUGUCGGACAUUUUGUCACAACACUGCAAACAGUACCAUAUAAGACUUUCAAAAGUCUUUGCCCUAGGAUCUGUGUGGAUGAUAUGUAUAUUAAUUGGACCAAAUUAUGAUAUUUGUAUUAUUUUUCUAAAUCUCUCUGUUACCUGAUUGUCAUAAAAAGACUAAAUGUUGUUUAAAAUAAAAUUAUGAACAAAAUUUUAUGAUGCAAAUUUAUAAAUUGUGAAAACGAGUUGUGAAAUUUCAAAUUAUUCUAACUUUAAUAUUAAAUAUUAACUACUUAUGGUUGAGAGCAAGAAAAGAGCCAUGAUGGAAAAACAGCAUACAAGAUAUUUUUCUCUUUGCUAUUGGCAAAAUAUGUUCAUUAAGUUUACAAAUGAAUAUAAAAUCUUCAAUGAAAUUUCCUUUCCUCAUGUAAACAGUUACUUUCACAAGAAAUAUUUAUAAUAACUUACAUUUGAACCUCAUUAAAGUUUGAUCUCAACCUUUCUGUCACUGAUAUUUCAGAGUUAGUGAUUCAAGUGAAAGCCAAUUUAAAACUCUAACACUCUUCAGGAAGUGAUUAAUGGGCAAAGAGCAUGUUUAGCUAUAGCAGGUCAAACUUGUGCUCUUUACCCAUGGCACUUAAGAAUGCCUUUAAUAUACUAACAUGCAAAUGUCAGGUACAGGGGAUUACCAAAACUUAUCUUUGUCCAAAUAUUUGGUACCAUAAGCAGUAUAGCUCAGGGUUUGAACACUUUGGGGAUCCAUGUAGUACCCCUGCUUACUUUUGUCAUGAUUCUACUGAUGAUAUGAAUAAAAGUAGAAGAGAUGUUGGAGCGAGGGCUCACUAGAUGAAGUACUUGUUGUACGAGUGUGAGGACUUGAAUUCAGAUUCCCAGCAUCCACUUGAAAAGUAAGUAUGGUGGUGUGCAUCUGAAGGCUCCACCUGGGGCAGGGGUGUGAAGACAGGUAGAUCCCAGAGGUUCACUAGUCAGUCUGUCCAAUCAUGGACCUCCAUUUUAGUGAGAGACAUUUCCAAAAAAAGGAGUGCAAUAACAAUAGACACACAAAGGAUAGAGGAAGACACACAAAGUCAAUCACUGUCACACAGCACACAUAAACAAUACAUACACACAUACACAAUUCUAACAGUAAGUUGGAAGUCUCUCAUCUUAACUAUCUGUUAGUGUCCUCUCUAAGGUAAUGGUGAUGGUGUUGUAGAGAAAAAGAAGCUGUGGAUAAAUUCUGCCUUUCAUUCAAUUUAUCCAGCAGACACUGCUGGAAGUUUGUAUAUUAUGUGUUAUAUUUUUCAUCAUUACCUUUCUACAUCUUAUUGGCUAUUUUAGAAUUUGUGAAUAAACAGGAACAUAUCUGUGUCACAUUAAUUUCCAGCAUGGAAGUUUGACUUGAACAUUAGGUACUUAUAUUGCUUUACUAAUGUAUACCUUGCAUUUAGGGUUAUUACCAUAAGUGUAAAUUAAAUUAAAUUAGAGGAGUGUUGUCAUAGUGUUUCAAAAGAAGCAUGUGCACCUAAUUCAUCAAGAUCUGCCUUUGCUUCUCUAGGGGUGAAUGUGAUGAAGAAUCAAAGGGAAAACAAUACCUGAUCAGAUGAUGCAUACUCUAGUGUCUGUGCCUGCCUGGUAUUCCUUUUGUUGUUAUUGUUUCUUUUUUUUUUUUUGCUAAAUUAAUCAAGGAUUUAUUUUUAAAAUAUCUAUAUCAUUUAUAGAAUCAAAAGUCCAUAGUUCCAUAGUAAUUUCAAGUUUCAAAAUUGAUUAAAUAUUUUUAAUUCAUUUAUUUACUAUCUAUCCCAGCCAGAGUUUCCCUUCCCUCCUCUCCUCCCAGUCUCUCCCUCCCCC